GGCCAUAUCACUUUGAAGCACUGCUUCCUGUGUGAACACUGAAGUUAAGCAAUGUCAAUCCUGUUGAGUACCUAGAUGGAUGACCACUUGGGAAUACCAGGUGCUGUAAG
Non-coding RNA from Acanthosepion pharaonis, 110 nucleotides. The record is from the annotation of a GenBank genome assembly. NCBI's taxonomy places the organism in Eukaryota, Metazoa, Mollusca, Cephalopoda, Sepiida, Sepiidae.